This 490-nucleotide ribosomal RNA is filed under the name Staphylococcus aureus. RNAcentral's name for it is "bacterial SSU rRNA". It matches the Rfam family "Bacterial small subunit ribosomal RNA", at positions 202 to 685 of the family's 1533-position model. Lineage: Bacteria; Bacillati; Bacillota; Bacilli; Caryophanales; Staphylococcaceae. The record is from RNAcentral.
ACGGUCUUGCUGUCACUUAUAGAUGGAUCCGCGCUGCAUUAGCUAGUUGGUAAGGUAACGGCUUACCAAGGCAACGAUGCAUAGCCGACCUGAGAGGGUGAUCGGCCACACUGGAACUGAGACACGGUCCAGACUCCUACGGGAGGCAGCAGUAGGGAAUCUUCCGCAAUGGGCGAAAGCCUGACGGAGCAACGCCGCGUGAGUGAUGAAGGUCUUCGGAUCGUAAAACUCUGUUAUUAGGGAAGAACAUAUGUGUAAGUAACUGUGCACAUCUUGACGGUACCUAAUCAGAAAGCCACGGCUAACUACGUGCCAGCAGCCGCGGUAAUACGUAGGUGGCAAGCGUUAUCCGGAAUUAUUGGGCGUAAAGCGCGCGUAGGCGGUUUUUUAAGUCUGAUGUGAAAGCCCACGGCUCAACCGUGGAGGGUCAUUGGAAACUGGAAAACUUGAGUGCAGAAGAGGAAAGUGGAAUUCCAUGUGUAGCGGUGAA